UAGCUUGCUACCUGACCUAGCGGCGGACGGGUGAGUAAUGCUUAGGAAUCUGCCUAUUAGUGGGGGACAACAUUCCGAAAGGAAUGCUAAUACCGCAUACGCCCUACGGGGGAAAGCAGGGGAUCUUCGGACCUUGCGCUAAUAGAUGAGCCUAAGUCAGAUUAGCUAGUUGGUGGGGUAAAGGCCUACCAAGGCGACGAUCUGUAGCGGGUCUGAGAGGAUGAUCCGCCACACUGGGACUGAGACACGGCCCAGACUCCUACGGGAGGCAGCAGUGGGGAAUAUUGGACAAUGGGCGAAAGCCUGAUCCAGCCACGCCGCGUGUGUGAAGAAGGCCCUUUGGUUGUAAAGCACUUUAAGCGAGGAGGAGGCUACUUGGAUUAAUACUCUAGGAUAGUGGACGUUACUCGCAGAAUAAGCACCGGCUAACUCUGUGCCAGCAGCCGCGGUAAUACAGAGGGUGCGAGCGUUAAUCGGAUUUACUGGGCGUAAGGCGUGCGUAGGCGGCUUUUUAAGUCGGAUGUGAAAUCCCUGAGCUUAACUUAGGAAUUGCAUUCGAUACUGGGAAGCUAGAGUAUGGGAGAGGAUGGUAGAAUUCCAGGUGUAGCGGUGAAAUGCGUAGAGAUCUGGAGGAAUACCGAUGGCGAAGGCAGCCAUCUGGCCUAAUACUGACGCUGAGGUACGAAAGCAUGGGGAGCAAACAGGAUUAGAUACCCUGGUAGUCCAUGCCGUAAACGAUGUCUACUAGCCGUUGGGGCCUUUGAGGCUUUAGUGGCGCAGCUAACGCGAUAAGUAGACCGCCUGGGGAGUACGGUCGCAAGACUAAAACUCAAAUGAAUUGACGGGGGCCCGCACAAGCGGUGGAGCAUGUGGUUUAAUUCGAUGCAACGCGAAGAACCUUACCUGGUCUUGACAUAGUAAGAACUUUCCAGAGAUGGAUUGGUGCCUUCGGGAACUUACAUACAGGUGCUGCAUGGCUGUCGUCAGCUCGUGUCGUGAGAUGUUGGGUUAAGUCCCGCAACGAGCGCAACCCUUUUCCUUAUUUGCCAGCGGGUUAAGCCGGGAACUUUAAGGAUACUGCCAGUGACAAACUGGAGGAAGGCGGGGACGACGUCAAGUCAUCAUGGCCCUUACGACCAGGGCUACACACGUGCUACAAUGGUCGGUACAAAGGGUUGCUACCUAGCGAUAGGAUGCUAAUCUCAAAAAGCCGAUCGUAGUCCGGAUUGGAGUCUGCAACUCGACUCCAUGAAGUCG
Molecule: ribosomal RNA, 1257 nt
Filed under: uncultured Acinetobacter sp.
Lineage: Bacteria; Pseudomonadati; Pseudomonadota; Gammaproteobacteria; Moraxellales; Moraxellaceae
Description: bacterial SSU rRNA
Rfam family: Bacterial small subunit ribosomal RNA
Source: RNAcentral